UGGGGAAUUUUGGACAAUGGGGGAAACCCUGAUCCAGCCAUCCCGCGUGUGCGAUGAAGGCCUUCGGGUUGUAAAGCACUUUUGGCAGGAAAGAAACGUCGCGGGUUAAUACCCCGCGAAACUGACGGUACCUGCAGAAUAAGCACCGGCUAACUACGUGCCAGCAGCCGCGGUAAUACGUAGGGUGCAAGCGUUAAUCGGAAUUACUGGGCGUAAAGCGUGCGCAGGCGGUUCGGAAAGAAAGAUGUGAAAUCCCAGAGCUUAACUUUGGGAACUGCAUUUUUUAACUACCGGGCUAGAGUGUGUCAGAGGGAGGUGGAAUUCCGCGUGUAGCAGUGAAAUGCGUAGAUAUGCGGAGGAACACCGAUGGCGAAGGCAGCCUCCUGGGAUAACACUGACGCUCAUGCACGAAAGCGUGGGGAGCAAACAGGAUUAGAUACCCUGGUAGUCCACGCCCUAAACGAUGUCAACUAGCUGUUGGGGCCUUCGGGCCUUGGUAGCGCAGCUAACGCGUGAAGUUGACCGCCUGGGGAGUACGGUC
RNAcentral lists this ribosomal RNA (541 nucleotides) under uncultured bacterium. RNAcentral describes it as "partial 16S ribosomal RNA". It matches the Rfam family "Bacterial small subunit ribosomal RNA", at positions 355 to 887 of the family's 1533-position model. The record is from RNAcentral.